RNAcentral lists this ribosomal RNA (255 nucleotides) under uncultured bacterium. Its description in RNAcentral is "partial 16S ribosomal RNA". It matches the Rfam family "Bacterial small subunit ribosomal RNA", at positions 524 to 776 of the family's 1533-position model. The record is from RNAcentral.
UACGUAGGCGGCAAGCGUUAUCCGGAUUUACUGGGCGUAAAGCGAGUGUAGGCGGUAACUAAAGUCUUCUUUGAAAGCAUAGGGCUCAACCUUAUCGUUGGAGAAGAUACUCAGUUACUUGUGAGUAAUAAAGGGGCAGCUGGAACUCUCGGUGUAGGGGUGAAAUCCGAUGAUAUCGAGAGGAACACCAAGGGAGAAGUCAGGCUGCUGGUUAUUAACUGACGCUGAGACUCGACAGCUCGGGGAGCGAAAGGG